GUUCCAGUUAGAAUGGGAAGAAUCCCCAAGACUACUGACCUCCUUGCUUGGUCCCCAGUCCAGUUAAGCCAGCUGACCUGGAUUGUGAGCUCCAUUUUGAGGAAGAACUCAGACCAACCAUCCUUCAUUCCUCUCCGUGCUUUGCUUCUGACUCUCCAGGCUUUGCUACCUCACUUUUACACAGCUUUCCGACUUUUGACCCGGGCUCUACUUGAAGUUUCAGAGGAUCAGGACCUGGGAGGACAACAAGUUCUUCAUUUAGUAGAUUGAACCAACAGAAGAAAAAUCUAAAACUGAAAAUGAAUAUAGACCCAGCAGCAUCAAUUAAAGAAAUCAAUACAACAUCAUCAACAGAAUCAGAUCCAUCAGUCAUAUUCAACAUGUUUGGAGAGAAGAACAGGAACCCAAAUCCUGCCUGGAGGCAGGAGGAUAGCCCAGAUGAGCUCCUGCAUGCUCCCCUAGUCUAAGAGUUUUCAAUAGUUCAGCACUAGAAAAGUUACCCAGCCAUCUCCAGCAAAAUCACCUUGUAUUUUUUUAUACAUUUUUAUAUAAGCCAGC
Molecule: long non-coding RNA, 558 nt
Organism: Phascolarctos cinereus (koala)
Lineage: Eukaryota; Metazoa; Chordata; Mammalia; Diprotodontia; Phascolarctidae
Source: RefSeq, a predicted model, not a curated record